CCUACGGGCGGCAGCAGUGGGGAAUAUUGCACAAUGGGGGAAACCCUGAUGCAGCAACGCCGCGUGAGUGAAGAAGGCUCUCGGAUUGUAAAGCUCUGUUAGCAGGGGAGAGGUAGGACGGUACCUGCAGAGGAAGCCACGUCUAACUACGGGCCAGCAGCCGCGGGAAUACGGAGGGGGCAAGCGUUGUUCGGAAUAACUGGGCGUAAAGGGUGCGUAGGCGGUUAAACAAGUUCUAUGUUAAAUAUAUAGGCUUAACCUGUAGAAAGCAGAUAAAACUGGUUAACUAGAGUGGAGGAGAGGUAAGUGGAAUGCCUAGUGUAGCGGUGAAAUGCGUAGAGAUUAGGAAGAACACCAGUGGCGAAGGCGACUUACUGGACUGUAACUGACGCUGAGGCAUGAGAGCAUGGGGAGCGAACAGGAUUAGAUACCCUUGUAGUC
This 441-nucleotide ribosomal RNA is filed under the name uncultured bacterium. RNAcentral describes it as "partial 16S ribosomal RNA". It matches the Rfam family "Bacterial small subunit ribosomal RNA", at positions 338 to 795 of the family's 1533-position model. The record is from RNAcentral.